Molecule: transfer RNA, 74 nt
Filed under: Thermoprotei archaeon
Lineage: Archaea; Thermoproteati; Thermoproteota; Thermoprotei
Description: tRNA-Ala
Rfam family: tRNA
About the family: Transfer RNA (tRNA) molecules are approximately 80 nucleotides in length. Their secondary structure includes four short double-helical elements and three loops (D, anti-codon, and T loops). Further hydrogen bonds mediate the characteristic L-shaped molecular structure. tRNAs have two regions of fundamental functional importance: the anti-codon, which is responsible for specific mRNA codon recognition, and the 3' end, to which the tRNAs corresponding amino acid is attached (by aminoacyl-tRNA synthetases). tRNAs cope with the degeneracy of the genetic code in two manners: having more than one tRNA (with a specific anti-codon) for a particular amino acid; and 'wobble' base-pairing, i.e. permitting non-standard base-pairing at the 3rd anti-codon position.
Source: RNAcentral
GGGCCGGUGGUGUAGCCUGGAGGCAUGCCGCCCUCGCGAGGCGGAGGACCCGGGUUCAAAUCCCGGCCGGUCCA